UACGAAGGGGGCUAGCGUUGUUCGGAAUUACUGGGCGUAAAGGGCGCGUAGGCGGUGUGUCAAGUCAGGCGUGAAAGCCCCGGGCUCAACCUGGGAACCGCGCUUGAGACUGGCACGCUCGAGUUCGGGAGAGGAUGGUGGAAUUCCCAGCGUAGAGGUGAAAUUCGUAGAUAUUGGGAAGAACACCGAUGGCGAAGGCAGCCAUCUGGACCGACACUGACGCUGAGGCGCGAAAGCGUGGGGAGCAAACAGG
This 253-nucleotide ribosomal RNA is filed under the name uncultured bacterium. Its description in RNAcentral is "partial 16S ribosomal RNA". It matches the Rfam family "Bacterial small subunit ribosomal RNA", at positions 524 to 776 of the family's 1533-position model. The record is from RNAcentral.